AUGGACCCCUUCUCCUCCGACCUCUGGGACCCCUUCUCCUCCGACCUCUGGGACCCCUUCGGCGCUUCCUGGCCCUUGGACGCCGGCCGCCGAGGCGGCGAAGGCGGCAGCCGCGACGACGCCACCGCCAUGGCUCGCACCAACAUUGACUGGCACGAGAACGACAAGGAGCACAUCUUCUCCGCGGAGAUACCCGGGGUGAGGAAGGAGCACGUGAAGGUGGAGGUGGAGGACGGCAACGUGCUCAAGAUCAGCGGGGAGAAGACGCGGGAGGAGGAGCACAAGGGCGACGCGUGGAACCGCGUGGAGCGCAGCUUCGGGUCCUUCAUGCGCCGGUUCCGCCUGCCGGAGAACGCCAAGGCGGACGGCAUCCGGUGCACCAUGCAGGACGGCGUGCUCAGGGUCGUCGUGCCCAAGGACGAGCAAGCCCAGAAGCAGCGCAACGUCCGCUCCAUCGACAUCGCCUAA
This 468-nucleotide ribosomal RNA is filed under the name Triticum aestivum (bread wheat). Its description in RNAcentral is "partial small subunit ribosomal RNA". The record is from RNAcentral. Lineage: Eukaryota; Viridiplantae; Streptophyta; Magnoliopsida; Poales; Poaceae.